Molecule: ribosomal RNA, 120 nt
Filed under: Thinopyrum intermedium
Lineage: Eukaryota; Viridiplantae; Streptophyta; Magnoliopsida; Poales; Poaceae
Source: RNAcentral
GGAUGCGAUCAUACCAGCACUAAAGCACCGGAUCCCAUCAGAACUCCGAAGCUAAGCGUGCUUGGGCGAGAGUAGUACUAGGAUGGGUGACCUCCUGGGAAGUCCUCGUGUUGCAUUCCC